CCUACGAGCGGCAGCAGUGGGGAAUAUUGCACAAUGGGGGAAACCCUGAUGCAGCGACGCCGCGUGAGUGAAGAAGUAUUUCGGUAUGUAAAGCUCUAUCAGCAGGGAAGAAAAUGACGGUACCUGAUUAAGAAGCCCCGGCUAACUACGUGCCAGCAGCCGCGGUAAUACGGAGGGGGACAGCGUUAGCCGGGUUUACUGGGGGUAAAGGGAACGUAGACGGCAGCACAAGGCUGGAGUGAAAUGCCGGGGCGUAACCCCUGAACUGCGUUGGAAACUGUGCAGCUAGAGGGCAGGAUAGGUAAGUGGAAUUCCGAGUGUAGCGGUGAAAUGCGUAGAUAUUAGGCGGAACACCAGUGGCGAAGGCGGGUUACUGGACUGUAACUGACGUUGAGGCUCGAAAGCGUGGGGAGCAAACAGGAUUAGAUACCCCGGUAGUC
This 440-nucleotide ribosomal RNA is filed under the name uncultured bacterium. RNAcentral's name for it is "partial 16S ribosomal RNA". It matches the Rfam family "Bacterial small subunit ribosomal RNA", at positions 338 to 795 of the family's 1533-position model. The record is from RNAcentral.